RNAcentral lists this unclassified non-coding RNA (200 nucleotides) under soil metagenome. Its description in RNAcentral is "partial contains internal transcribed spacer 2 and large subunit ribosomal RNA". The record is from RNAcentral.
CUGGACUCUGUUGUGUUACUACAACUGGUCUGAAAUGCAUGAGUGCAUCCUGCUUUUGCAGUGUUUUCAGUGUGAUAAGCAUCUUCACUGGAUCAAGUUCCCUUGGGACACACGCAUUGUGGGCUCUGUGCUGGCAAACCGUCUUUGGACAAACUUGACAAUUUGACCUCAGAUCGGGUGGGACUACCCGCUGAACUUAA